GACGUAGGGGGCCAGCGUUGUUCGGAAUUACUGGGUGUAAAGGGUUCGUAGGCGGUGUGGCAAGUCGGGAGUGAAAACUCUGGGCUCAACCCAGAGUCUGCUUCCGAAACUGCUGUGCUUGAGUGUGGGAGAGGCGCGUGGAAUUGCAGGUGUAGCGGUGAAAUGCGUAGAUAUCUGCAGGAACACCCGUGGCGAAAGCGGCGCGCUGGACCACUACUGACGCUGAGGAACGAAAGCCAGGGGAGCAAACGGG
RNAcentral lists this ribosomal RNA (253 nucleotides) under uncultured bacterium. RNAcentral's name for it is "partial 16S ribosomal RNA". It matches the Rfam family "Bacterial small subunit ribosomal RNA", at positions 524 to 776 of the family's 1533-position model. The record is from RNAcentral.